RNAcentral lists this ribosomal RNA (903 nucleotides) under uncultured bacterium. RNAcentral's name for it is "bacterial SSU rRNA". It matches the Rfam family "Bacterial small subunit ribosomal RNA", at positions 17 to 917 of the family's 1533-position model. The record is from RNAcentral.
UCCUGGCUCAGGAUGAACGCUGGCGGCGUGCCUAAUACAUGCAAGUCGAACGAAUCUUCUUCGGAAGAUGAGUGGCGAACGGGUGAGUAAUACAUAGGUAACCUGCCCCUGUGCGGGGGAUAACAGGAGGAAACUCCUGCUAAUACCGCAUAGCCAUGAGCACCGCAUGGAGCUCAUGCCAAAUAUCCUUUACGGGAUAGCGCAGGGAUGGACCUAUGGCGCAUUAGCUAGUUGGCGGGGCAACGGCCCACCAAGGCAACGAUGCGUAGCCGGCCUGAGAGGGCGGACGGCCACAUUGGGACUGAGACACGGCCCAGACUCCUACGGGAGGCAGCAGUAGGGAAUUUUCGGCAAUGGGGGAAACCCUGACCGAGCAACGCCGCGUGAGCGAAGAAGGCCUUCGGGUCGUGAAGCUCUGUUGUAAAGGAAGAACGUCGCAUGCAGGAAAUGGUGUGCGAGUGACGGUACUUUACCAGAAAGCCACGGCUAACUACGUGCCAGCAGCCGCGGUAAUACGUAGGUGGCGAGCGUUAUCCGGAAUCAUUGGGCGUAAAGAGGGAGCAGGCGGCCGCAAGGGUCUGUGGUGAAAGACCGAAGCUAAACUUCGGUAAGCCAUGGAAACCGGGCGGCUAGAGUGCGGAAGAGGAUCGUGGAAUUCCAUGUGUAGCGGUGAAAUGCGUAGAUAUAUGGAGGAACACCAGUGGCGAAGGCGACGGUCUGGGCCGCAACUGACGCUCAUUCCCGAAAGCGUGGGGAGCAAAUAGGAUUAGAUACCCUAGUAGUCCACGCCGUAAACGAUGGUCACUAAGUGUCGGGGGUCAAACCCCGGUGCUGCAGUCAACGCAAUAAGUGACCCGCCUGAGUAGUACGUUCGCAAGAAUGAAACUCAAAGGAAUUGACGGA